Molecule: non-coding RNA, 1116 nt
Organism: Microcebus murinus (gray mouse lemur)
Lineage: Eukaryota; Metazoa; Chordata; Mammalia; Primates; Cheirogaleidae
Source: RefSeq, a predicted model, not a curated record
AGGGUCAACUAUUAUGAGGCUUCAGUGUAUUUCCACCUCUCAUUUCUAAAAGAAUUCUUAUAUUAGUUUGAAAGUGACGGUAAAGGUGGGCAGAAGCAAAGAAUAUCCCUCCAUGUCAUCUCCCUACAUGGUAGACAUUAGUAACUGCAAUGGUCUGCAGAUGUCUCUUGCAUAUUUUUUGUUGCAUGUGUAUGCAGUGCAACAGAGAAAAUGAAAGAACAGAAAGGUGAAGUUUAUAGCUAACGGGAACUGAUUUAAUGAUGCCAACUGAGAACAAGGAAGAAGAUCUGGAAAAACAGAAAAAUAAAAAUUUGUAUAGAGAAUGGAGAAGACCAUGCAUAGGGACUCUGUUCAUACUAUAGAUUUGUCUUACUAGAUGUAAAAAUGUUUCUUUACUAGAUGUAAAUUUAGAGAAGGUACUUGCUCAAUGUGUUGAUGACUUCCUGAAGUCAACUAAAUAAAUCCAUAGAAAAGACAAUUUUAAUAGAGAUACCUAUUACUGAGUACUUCCUACGUGCCAAGUAUUAUUUCUGUAUCACCUCUAAUUUUAACAACUCCUGUGGAAGGUAGAGACUAUUUUACAUAUGAAGAAACAGAUGUUGGGAAAAGUUAUUUAUCCAAGGUCAUUGAGCUAGCAAAAAGUGCCACAAGUCAGACACAGGCUUUAAGCUUUAGAUGAAAGAGAUUUACUAAACAAAAAGGUGCUUUAGCUAUAAAAAUUACUCAAUCAAGCCUGGUAAUACUUUACAUCUUAAAACUUUGAAAGACCAGCUAAUGCCCAACUGCUGGAUCUAGACUCAGCACUAAGUCAUAUGUUUAAAUGUCUUUGCUUUUUUAGUCCAAAUGAGAUUAUGAACCUUAGUCUCUAAAACUCCAUGCAAAGUUCAGCAAAAUUCUAUCCACUUUUAAAAGAGAAUGUAUCUUUAGAUACUCCAAAAAUGGGGGUGGGGUGGGGGAAGAGAAAGAAUGUUUCCAUUUUUUCUUUUUUUUUUUGAGACAGAGUCUCACUCUGUUACCCAGGUUGGAGUGCAGUGGAAUAACGACAGCUCAUUAUAACCUUGCUCCUUGGCUCAAGUGAUCCUCCUGCCUUAGCCUCCCAAGUAGCUGGGACCAUAG